CAAGAUCUUCUAUGGAGUGUUAUAACAAGCUACGGAGAGUUUUUAAGCAGGGGAAUAUUGUAAUCUGAUUAUGUGUUAGAAGAAUGACAUAGGGAAACAAGGAAAAGAGUAGGAAGACAACAAUAGAAUAGAAGUCAGUAGACUCAUUCAGUGAUACUGAUGAUGAAAAGAAGAACUUCAGUUUCAAAAUAUAUUCUAGUGACAAAGCCAGUCAGAUGUGGUGGAAAAGGCAGAACAGACAAAUGGAAAUGAUUUCUGUUUCUAGUUUGGGCAACACAGCCACUGUGUGGGCGUGAGUAAAACAGAAGAUGAGUCCAUUUGCUCAUAAGAAGAUAUAGACGAGCACUGAUCAAGGUUGAGCAAUGAAGUUUUCUCCAUGCCACAAGUGUCAUGGAGUUUGACUGGUAACAUUUUCAUGAACCAGAAGGUCACCUUUCAGAACAGAUGUACACUUUGCACCACUGCUCAUUUGGUUGUAUUUCUGUAGCUGCCAUAACGCCAUGCUAUCUACUGGACAGCUCAAAAAACAGAAGAGUUUUGGCUCACAUGACUGACGGCACUUCCAGUUCUGAGUAG
This 576-nucleotide long non-coding RNA is filed under the name Fukomys damarensis (Damara mole-rat). Its description in RNAcentral is "lncRNA (ENSFDAG00000022294.1)". The record is from RNAcentral. Lineage: Eukaryota; Metazoa; Chordata; Mammalia; Rodentia; Bathyergidae.